AGAUUGAACUGAAGAGUUUGAUCCUGGCUCAGAUUGACGCUGGCGGCAUGCCUUACACAUGCAAGUCGAACGGCAGCACGGGGCAACCCUGGUGGCGAGUGGCGAACGGGUGAGUAAUACAUCGGAACGUGCCCUGUCGUGGGGGAUAACUAGUCGAAAGAUU
RNAcentral lists this ribosomal RNA (163 nucleotides) under Cupriavidus sp. UYMU48A. Its description in RNAcentral is "partial 16S ribosomal RNA". It matches the Rfam family "Bacterial small subunit ribosomal RNA", at positions 1 to 160 of the family's 1533-position model. The record is from RNAcentral. Lineage: Bacteria; Pseudomonadati; Pseudomonadota; Betaproteobacteria; Burkholderiales; Burkholderiaceae.